AUUGAAGUAUCUUAAGUGAUUUUUUAAUUUAUUUCUCUACCUCACAUUUGAAGUUCUUGAAUCUUUCAAAGAUUUUAGAUUUAUGCCUCAUAAGAAUACAUAUUCGUACUAUAAAAAAUCAUCGAUAAAGAUGAUGAAGUAGAGAUAACCUCCUCUGACCGACACAUCAAAUGCGUCACACAUAUUAGUAUGUACCAGAGCCAAG
This 205-nucleotide long non-coding RNA is filed under the name Elaeis guineensis (African oil palm). Its description in RNAcentral is "long non-coding RNA (EGUI_LNC052298)". Lineage: Eukaryota; Viridiplantae; Streptophyta; Magnoliopsida; Arecales; Arecaceae. The record is from RNAcentral.